UCGUAGCCCGGAUAGUAGCGGCAUCCUUCCUGUGCUGCCUUUAGGCACAGGAAGAUACAGCGUAGAGCCGGAAAAAGC
RNAcentral lists this small RNA (78 nucleotides) under Flavobacterium sp. FPG59. RNAcentral describes it as "Flavo-1 RNA". It matches the Rfam family "Flavo-1 RNA". The record is from Rfam by way of RNAcentral. Lineage: Bacteria; Pseudomonadati; Bacteroidota; Flavobacteriia; Flavobacteriales; Flavobacteriaceae. RNAcentral also lists the same sequence under 1 other name.